CUGGUUUAGUGUUGAGGUUGGUAUGUAUGGUCUGCCCUGUUUUAGUGUUGAGGUGGAUAUGUACGGUCUGGCCACAGUGGAGAGAGUUCUCAAAGACUGGUUUAGUGUUGAGGUGGAUAUGUACGGUCUGGCCACAGUGGAGAGAGUUCUCAAAGACUGGUUUAGUGUUGAGGUGGAUAUGUACGGUCUGGCCACAGUGGAGAGAGUUCUCAAAGACUGGUUUAGUGUUGAGGUGGAUAUGUACGGUCUGGCCACAGUGGAGAGAGUUCUCAAAGACUGGUUUAGUGUUGAGGUGGAUAUGUACGGUCUGGCCACAGUGGAGAGAGUUCUCAAAGACUGGUUUAGUGUUGAGGUGGAUAUGUACGGUCUGGCCACAGUGGAGAGAGUUCUCAAAAACUGGUUUAGUGUUGAGGUUGGUAUGUAUGGUCUGCCCUGUUUUAGUGUUGAGGUGGAUAUGUACGGUCUGGCCACAGU
Molecule: long non-coding RNA, 474 nt
Organism: Oncorhynchus tshawytscha (Chinook salmon)
Lineage: Eukaryota; Metazoa; Chordata; Actinopteri; Salmoniformes; Salmonidae
Exons: 3
Source: RefSeq, a predicted model, not a curated record